UACGUAGGGGGCUAGCGUUGUCCGGAUUUAUUGGGCGUAAAGGGCGCGUAGGCGGCCGCCUAAGUCAGACGUGAAAUCCCUCGGCUCAACCGGGGAACUGCGUCUGAUACUGGCGGGCUUGAAUUCGGGAGAGGGAUGUGGAAUUCCAGGUGUAGCGGUGAAAUGCGUAGAUAUCUGGAGGAACACCGGUGGCGAAGGCGGCAUCCUGGACCGACAUUGACGCUGAGGCGCGAAAGCCAGGGGAGCAAACGGG
This 253-nucleotide ribosomal RNA is filed under the name uncultured bacterium. Its description in RNAcentral is "partial 16S ribosomal RNA". It matches the Rfam family "Bacterial small subunit ribosomal RNA", at positions 524 to 776 of the family's 1533-position model. The record is from RNAcentral.